AAACAAAGUACACCACCCUGAACGCGCCCGAUCUCGUCUGAUCUCGGAAGCUAAGCAGGGUCGGGCCUGGUUAGUACUUGGAUGGGAAAAACAAAAUACAAAGCAGUGUGUAAAGAGGAAACUAUUUUCU
RNAcentral lists this ribosomal RNA (130 nucleotides) under Neogale vison (American mink). The record is from RNAcentral. Lineage: Eukaryota; Metazoa; Chordata; Mammalia; Carnivora; Mustelidae.